RNAcentral lists this ribosomal RNA (491 nucleotides) under uncultured bacterium. RNAcentral's name for it is "partial 16S ribosomal RNA". It matches the Rfam family "Bacterial small subunit ribosomal RNA", at positions 28 to 507 of the family's 1533-position model. The record is from RNAcentral.
GAUGAACGCUGGCUACAGGCUUAACACAUGCAAGUCGAGGGGAAACGACGGGGAAGCUUGCUUCCCCGGGCGUCGACCGGCGCACGGGUGAGUAACGCGUAUCCAACCUGCCUCUGACUGAGGGAUAACCCGUCGAAAGUCGGCCUAAUACCUCAUGGUAUCGUCUGCGGGCAUCCAACGACGAUUAAAGAUUUCAUCGGUCAGGGAUGGGGAUGCGUCUGAUUAGCUUGUUGGCGGGGUAACGGCCCACCAAGGCUACGAUCAGUAGGGGUUCUGAGAGGAAGGUCCCCCACAUUGGAGCUGAGACACGGUCCAAACUCCUACGGGAGGCAGCAGUGAGGUAUAUUGGGCAAUGGGCGAGAGCCUGAACCAGCCAAGUGGCGUGCAGGAAGACGGCCCUAUGGGUUGUAAACUGCUUUUAUGCGGGGAUAAAGUGAGGGACGUGUCCCUCAUUGCAGGUACCGCAUGAAUAAGGACCGGCUAAUUCCGUG